Molecule: ribosomal RNA, 429 nt
Filed under: Gemmatimonadota bacterium
Lineage: Bacteria; Pseudomonadati; Gemmatimonadota
Description: Gemmatimonadetes bacterium partial 16S ribosomal RNA
Rfam family: Bacterial small subunit ribosomal RNA
Source: RNAcentral
UAGGGAAUCUUCGGCAAUGGACGAAAGUCUGACCGAGCAACGCCGCGUGAGUGAAGAAGGUUUUCGGAUCGUAAAACUCUGUUGUUAGAGAAGAACAAGGACGUUAGUAACUGAACGUCCCCUGACGGUAUCUAACCAGAAAGCCACGGCUAACUACGUGCCAGCAGCCGCGGUAAUACGUAGGUGGCAAGCGUUGUCCGGGUUUAUUGGGCGUAAAGCGAGCGCAGGCGGUUUCUUAAGUCUGAUGUGAAAGCCCCCGGCUCAACCGGGGAGGGUUAAUUGCAACUGGGAGACUUGAGAGCAGAAGAGGGGAGUGGAAUUCGAUGUGUAGCGGUGAAAUGCGUAGAUAUAUGGAGGAACGCCAGUGGCGAAGGCGGCUCUCUGGUCUGUAACUGACGCUGAGGCUAGAAAGCGUGGGGAGCAAACAGG